UACGGAGGGUGCAAGCGUUAUCCGGAUUCACUGGGUUUAAAGGGCGCGCAGGCGGAUUGGUAAGUCAGUGGUGAAAGGCUUAAGCUUAACUUGGGAACUGCCAUUGAUACUAUCAGUCUUGAAUGUUGUUGAGGUUUGCGGAAUGGGUCAUGUAGCGGUGAAAUGCAUAGAUAUGACCCGGAACACCUAUUGCGAAGGCAGCAGGCUAAACAAAUAUUGACGCUGAGGCUCGAAAGCGUGGGGAGCAAACAGG
This 253-nucleotide ribosomal RNA is filed under the name uncultured bacterium. Its description in RNAcentral is "partial 16S ribosomal RNA". It matches the Rfam family "Bacterial small subunit ribosomal RNA", at positions 524 to 776 of the family's 1533-position model. The record is from RNAcentral.